RNAcentral lists this unclassified non-coding RNA (1082 nucleotides) under Cyathea pectinata. RNAcentral's name for it is "partial contains tRNA-Leu (trnL), trnL-trnF intergenic spacer, and tRNA-Phe (trnF)". The record is from RNAcentral. Lineage: Eukaryota; Viridiplantae; Streptophyta; Polypodiopsida; Cyatheales; Cyatheaceae.
AUUUGAACUGGUGACACGAGGAUUUUCAGUCCUCUGCUCUACCGGCUGAGCUAUCCCGGCCAACGUCUCUACGGAGAUGUCUCAAAUCCAAAUGAGACAGAUAUCUUUUUUUUUUUUUUUUAUUUGAUCCAUCUCUGCUCAAUCAAACCAAUAGUCUCGGUAAAAAAUAGUUGUUUGUUUAACAUUUUCUAUAGUCUUCAAAUGAACCACUCAAAAAGUCUUUUAGGCUUGCUCAGUGGUUCAUUUGUGUUCCAUACUCGAAUAAGAGAUUAAAGGUGAAAGGACAGGGUAUUAAGCUAAAUUUAUCGAGCUCUGGCUCUGAGUCAAAGAUCUAAGAUUUACUACUCCUCCUAAUAGUUUGAAGGGGGUGAGAUAACCAUAUGAAUCCGAACAAUCUACAUAUAGAUUGGCAAUUCUACCCUGUUCUGUUGGGGAUAGAGGGACUUGAACCCUCACGGUCCUAUAAAGACCAACGGAUUUUCUUUCUACCACAAUUUACAUUGCUACUCAUACCAACCGUGUAGAAUGGGACUCUAUCUUUAUCCACGAAAACAUUAUUAGCUACUACUUGUUGAGGAGUAUUCAUUAAAAUACAACAGAAGACAGGCACUGUAACAGGUAGAGAAGGAAUAUGAGAGUUAGUAGGAAUAGGAUAUAUCUUUUAUAUACUAUAUAUUCAAAUGUUGGCGUGAUCCUGCGAACGAAUGUCGACUCUAUGCCAACUCUAGACCGAAACAGGGGUCGCACUCGAUCCUUAUCCAACUAGAAAAGCUUUUUUUCUUCUCUCUCUCAUUUCUUCGUCUCAUAUCCCUGUAUUUCAUCUUGUUCAAUCACCCAUACGGGGUAGUUAAAUAUUUAGUUACUUUAGAAAUAAGGAUUAAUAGAUUGUUCGUUGGAAUAGCCCCCGUCGAGUCUCUGUACCUAUCUCGCCUCGUCAUCUAAAACUUAGAUAGAUGAGCUGAGAUUUGGCUCAGGAUUGCCCGCAAAAUAAUCCUAGGUUCCCCUGAAUCUGGGAGCUGUCACUCAGUACGUUUCCAUACCUAGGCUCAAUCUGAUUGAGUCCGUAGCGUCUACCGAUUUCG